This is a long non-coding RNA of Brienomyrus brachyistius, 720 nucleotides long. RefSeq lists it as uncharacterized. Lineage: Eukaryota; Metazoa; Chordata; Actinopteri; Osteoglossiformes; Mormyridae. The transcript has 3 exons. The record is from RefSeq and is a predicted model, not a curated record.
CACUGCGAGAGCACAGUGCUGCCUACUGUUUUACUCUUAAAUGCUUAAGAUAUACAUUUUUUAGUAUAAAGAGUAAUAACCUUGUUAAAGGAGCCCUUCCUAGCCAAGGCAACACCAGGCUGCUGUAACAAGAUGGAGGACUGGCAAAGACUUCUGGGAAAUGGUAGGCUUGAAGAUGUGGACUAGCCUGGAUGAAUUGGAGUACCUAUUACACAGAGUUUUUCAUUUUUAUCCCACUGCCCAAAGAUGCUCCGUUUUGAUGAGUCAGUGACUCAGACAGUCAGUGCUUAGGCAUGAAGUCGCUGAGAAAGGGUGUAGGAGUGUUUAAUGUGAAGCUCUCUGAAGGACAACAAGAAUCAAGCAACAAAGAGUUAACAUAACUAAAGCAAAAUUCAAAUAAGGUGACAGUUCAGUACAGCUAUUAAAUACAACAGAGAAAUGGUACAUUUAAGCUGAAGAAGACUUGGCAUGUAGAUACAGCAAUACAGAGAAAACGGUAGUGAUCAAAGAUUAAGAGAUAUUAAGUUAGAAGCCAUGAAGGUGAAUGUGUGUGCUCCUUUAAGACCGCAAGGUGCAGCUCAUGGUCCACCGAACAUUUCAUUUGAAUCGAGUGACGCAGUAUCAGUCUUAUGUGCCAUUUGUCAUGUACAAAGCAUACAUAUGGUGUAUGCCUGAAGGUUCACAACUGGACAAGAGAGAAUAGAAGCACAAUACAAAAUA